This 268-nucleotide ribosomal RNA is filed under the name uncultured haloarchaeon. Its description in RNAcentral is "partial 16S ribosomal RNA". It matches the Rfam family "Archaeal small subunit ribosomal RNA", at positions 1013 to 1282 of the family's 1478-position model. Lineage: Archaea; Methanobacteriati; Methanobacteriota; Halobacteria; Halobacteriales; Halobacteriaceae. The record is from RNAcentral.
CCUGCCACAGGGUUUUUAGUCAGGCAACGAGCGAGACCCCCAUUCCUAAUUCCCAGCAGCAGCUUUGGGUGGCUGGGUACAUUAGGAGGACUGCCAGUGCCAAACCGGAGGAAGGAACGGGCAACGGUAGGUCAGUAUGCCCCGAAUGAGCUGGGCUACACGCGGGCUACAAUGGUCGGGACAAUGGGAAGCCACCUCGAGAGAGGGCGGUAAUCUCCGAAACUCGGUCGUAGUUCGGAUUGAGGGCUGAAACUCGCCCUCAUGAAGC